Long non-coding RNA from Bos taurus (domestic cattle), 3485 nucleotides. NCBI's taxonomy places the organism in Eukaryota, Metazoa, Chordata, Mammalia, Artiodactyla, Bovidae. The record is from Ensembl.
CGCCCCUCGGCGACGUGAGCCCGCUUCCCUCCGAGUCUAGGCGCCGAGGGGGCGGGGCGGGGCGGGGCGUCUGCGCCCUAUUGUCAUGGAGACGGGAAGCCGGCGGCGGCGGUGGCGGGCAUAGCCCAGCAGAGGUGGCAGCGAACCGGCCGCGACUGAGGCGAGGCCGAGCAGCCCCGAGCGCGCGGAGCCGACCGCUGGCGGCCUCUCAGGCAGCCAAGGGAGCAGUGUUCUCCGGGGCUCGGGCUGGGCCGGGGUGAUCGCGGGGAGUGCCCAGGAGCGUCCCCGCCCUGCUCGCGUCGCUCGCGCUCUUGCGGCCCUUCAGCUCCCCAGCGCCCGCCCCCGGCUCCGCCCGCCGCCGCCGCCGCCGCCGCCGCCGCAGCCCCUCGCGCUAACGGUCGGUAGCGGCCCGCGCGCGCCGCCAGCCGGGGGCUCGCGCCAGCCACGAGGGAGCGUCCGCGGCUCACGCUCCCGCGCUGCGGAGGAGAGGUGAGCCCCGCGUCCACUCUGCCACCGCGUACCCUCCGCGUCUCGGCCGGGCUUCCUGCCUCUCGAGCCGCGUCCACGUCCUCCCGUGGACGGGAUGGACGCGGUGGUGCCCUGCGCCCCUCUGGGCUCUCGGUAGGCAUGGGCUGCGUGAACGUUGGGCGGGAUUCUCGUGGUGUGACGGUCCCCCCAGCGGGCGGGCGUGGGCGUGGUCCCCUCCAUCCACGCGCGGCGACUUCACCCUCUCGGCUCUGGUCCAGGAUGCUGAUCUCGGAAAUGGAGCCCUGGAGGUUAUGAGUAUGAUGCUUCCAUAUACGUUUGGAUGUUUUCAGCUAAGUUCACUUCUGAACUGUGGGGCUCCUCCAAGUGUUGACUGAAAUCUGUCCUUGAGCAUCCCCACGCUCAUCUAAUCUACAGUCCAUAAUGGAGCCACUGUACUGGCUUUUGGAAGGAGGAGAUUCUGAAGAUAGGGAGAUUCAGCAAUCAGUCUUUGAAAUUUCCUGUGGUCUGUUCAAUCUAGAUGCAAAGGACAUGGAAAAAUCAAGUGCUCAAGUGGUUUAAAUAUGUUUUGGAUAUUCUUAUUUAUAGAUUACAGGAUUUUUCCAAUUAAAAUCCGCAGUUGUCAUGCAGAAGGAGGUUAUGCCCUUCUUGAUCACCAGUUUAUUUGAAAUGCUUAGCAUUAUAGUGUGUUACUGAAUGCUGUUUUAAUCAAAGUAUAGAAAAAUAAAAACAAUUCUGUAUGUUGACUUUUUUUCUAAAAUGACUUUGUUGGACUGAAUGAAUGUUUAUACCUGAAAAAGAGGGUUCCUCCCUGAGAAAAAAAUCACUUUCUCCAUUAUAGCAAUUCUUCUGGCAAUCUGAUAUCAUUAGAAUAGGUUUAAAAUCACUUUCUAAUGUGACCCUAUUAUAUUUAUGGAAGAAGAAAGACUUAGAAGUUAUCCAUAUAUAUAAUUUUAAUUCUCUAUAGUAGUCCCUCUGGAAUGGAACAUUUUCUUUUUAAAAAAUCUAUUAGCUCAACUCAGGUAUGAGGGAAAAAUCAUCUCAACUGGCAGAGCAUUCGUUACGUCUUUGAGUAUUUGGUUUAUAUAAAGGUUGACAUCCAGUCUUCCACAGAGUUCUUACAUUUGGGCAGACUGAAUAAUGAGGGGUUGCCUUGGCAUUGGGAAAUUCCUUGUUGUGGCCUUUGUGGUGGCUGAAGGGAAACGGAAGGAUUCCUCCGUGGCAGGCAGGCGUCUGGCUUCUGUGGUAUGAACUCUGUCAAGGGGUAUGUGUGACCAGAGGUAGCCCUUAGUGAGGGGACUGGAGAGAUGCACAGAUGCUGCUGACACCCGAAGAAGUAGUGGCGAGUUACUGUUUUGGGCAUGACCCAGUUUGUACUUCAUCCACUUCUAUAGUUCUCACAAAAUGCUAUGAUAAAUUCUUAAGCUCAGAUCUCCGUACAGCAAAGUAAAAUUUUUAGGCUAGAAUAUUUUUUAUUUUUAAUUAAACUUUAUAUUUUGAGAUAAUUACAGAUUUCAUGUGCAGUUUUACUAAAUAAUGGAGAGGUCCUCUGUACCUUUAGUAAGUUUCCCCUCAGUAGGGAAAGUAUCACAACCUGGACAUUGGCCUCAUUACAGCCCAGAUACAGAACUUCCAUCCCCGGAAGGAUUCCUCACUCUGUCCUUUUACAGUCGUACAUGCUUCUCUCCUGCUCCUCUUCCUGUAGCAUCACUAGGCUGUUCUCCUUUCCUGUAAUGUUUUUUCUUUUCAAGGAUGUUCUAUAAAUGGAAUCAUAUAGUAUAUAACCUCUUGGGAUUGACUUUUCUCACUCAGCACAAUUUUCUGGAGCUUCAACUCACACGUAUCAGUAUUCUGUUCUUUUUAUGGUUGGGUAAUAUCCCGUGGUGUGGUUGCCCCACAGUUUGUUUAACUGUUGUACCAGUUGAGACUUCAGUGUUGUUUCUGGUUUUUCACUAUUAUGAAUAAAACUGCUGUAAACAUGCAUGUACAGAUUUUUAUGUGAACAUAAGUUUUCAUUUUCCUGGGAUAAAUGCCCAGGAGUGUGAUUGUGGGUCAUAUGAUAAUUACAUAGAGUCUUUUUAAGACUAGAAUUGAUUUUGUGUGUAUGGAAGGGGAGACAAAGAGAACAUCUACAUUUUUGUGGUAUUUUUGCUUUAACUGGAUUUGUCUACGAUUUCAAAACAUACAGACUAUUUUAAAUAACUUGUAGCUAGAUAUAAAAAAAACAUUUUUCCACAAACUAGAUUUUGUUCUUAUUUCUAGAGAAAUACUUUUGAGAAAAAACUGACCUUUUUUGGGGGGGGUAAGCAAUUUCUGUGUAAAGGAAUAAAGGUAGACAUACACUAUAGAAAGUGCUGCAAAGCUGGCAGGGUACUUGGGGAAAAUUUGCAAGUGUUAAUAGAGACUUGACAUUCAAGGCUAUAUUGUAAUAGUUUUUCAAUUUGUAGACUUUAACUUUUGUCACUACCAUGUAGCCUGCAGAUUUUAUUUGUAGAAUAAAUUCAUUAUCUUUAUCAUUUGUGUUCAGCUGUGUUGCAUUUCAUGUCCAUCUAAUUCAACUAUAUGCAUGUAGGAAGAAAAAGAAGGAAAUGAAAAACAAACAAUAUCUUUUCUAGUGCAGGCAUGCUUAGUUGUGUCCGACUCUUUUGCAACCCCAUGGACUAUAGCCUGCCAGGCUCCUGGGUCUAUGGGAUUUUCCAGGCAAGAAUACUGGAGUGAGCUGCCAUUUCCUUUUCCAGGGGAUCUUCCUGACCCAGGAAUCAAACCUGUGUCUUCUGAGUCUCCUGCAUUGGCAGGUGGAUAUUUUACCACUAAGCCACCUGGGAAAGCCAUCUUUUCUAGUACCUAGCCCCUAAAAUGCAGCUACUGUAUGCGAUGCUUAGUGGAAGAAUGGCUUUGUUUCCAACUCCGGUAGAAAUUAUCCUGGUAUACUUACUGAGACAUAAUAAGGCAUAUACAAAACCAUCUAUGCUAUAUUUUGGGAGAAACCCACUGAAAGA